UACGUAGGGUGCGAGCGUUGUCCGGAAUUAUUGGGCGUAAAGGGAAUGUAGGUGGUGACGUAAGUCAGAUGUGAAAGCCCUGGGCUUAACCCGGGAAGUGCAUUUGAUACUGCGUCGCUAGAGUACGAGAGAGGAAAGCGGAAUUCCCAGUGUAGGAGUGAAAUCCGUAGAUAUUGGGAGGAAUACCGAUGGCGAAGGCAGCUUUCUGGUUCGUAACUGACACUGAGAUUCGAAAGCGUGGGUAGCAAACAGG
RNAcentral lists this ribosomal RNA (253 nucleotides) under uncultured bacterium. RNAcentral describes it as "partial 16S ribosomal RNA". It matches the Rfam family "Bacterial small subunit ribosomal RNA", at positions 524 to 776 of the family's 1533-position model. The record is from RNAcentral.